This 850-nucleotide ribosomal RNA is filed under the name Klebsiella sp. T11. RNAcentral describes it as "bacterial LSU rRNA". It matches the Rfam family "Bacterial large subunit ribosomal RNA", at positions 2093 to 2925 of the family's 2925-position model. Lineage: Bacteria; Pseudomonadati; Pseudomonadota; Gammaproteobacteria; Enterobacterales; Enterobacteriaceae. The record is from RNAcentral.
GUGAACCUUUACUAUAGCUUGACACUGAACAUUGAGCCUUGAUGUGUAGGAUAGGUGGGAGGCUUUGAAGCGUGGACGCCAGUCUGCGUGGAGCCAACCUUGAAAUACCACCCUUUAAUGUUUGAUGUUCUAACGUAGGCCCCUGACCGGGGUUGCGGACAGUGUCUGGUGGGUAGUUUGACUGGGGCGGUCUCCUCCCAAAGAGUAACGGAGGAGCACGAAGGUUAGCUAAUCCUGGUCGGACAUCAGGAGGUUAGUGCAAUGGCAUAAGCUAGCUUGACUGCGAGCGUGACGGCGCGAGCAGGUGCGAAAGCAGGUCAUAGUGAUCCGGUGGUUCUGAAUGGAAGGGCCAUCGCUCAACGGAUAAAAGGUACUCCGGGGAUAACAGGCUGAUACCGCCCAAGAGUUCAUAUCGACGGCGGUGUUUGGCACCUCGAUGUCGGCUCAUCACAUCCUGGGGCUGAAGUAGGUCCCAAGGGUAUGGCUGUUCGCCAUUUAAAGUGGUACGCGAGCUGGGUUUAGAACGUCGUGAGACAGUUCGGUCCCUAUCUGCCGUGGGCGCUGGAGAAUUGAGGGGGGCUGCUCCUAGUACGAGAGGACCGGAGUGGACGCAUCACUGGUGUUCGGGUUGUCAUGCCAAUGGCACUGCCCGGUAGCUAAAUGCGGAAGAGAUAAGUGCUGAAAGCAUCUAAGCACGAAACUUGCCCCGAGAUGAGUUCUCCCUGAGACUUUAAGUCUCCUGAAGGAACGUUGAAGACGACGACGUUGAUAGGCCGGGUGUGUAAGCGCAGCGAUGCGUUGAGCUAACCGGUACUAAUGAACCGUGAGGCUUAACCUUACAACGCCGAAG